RNAcentral lists this ribosomal RNA (250 nucleotides) under uncultured bacterium. RNAcentral's name for it is "partial 16S ribosomal RNA". It matches the Rfam family "Bacterial small subunit ribosomal RNA", at positions 524 to 773 of the family's 1533-position model. The record is from RNAcentral.
GACAGAGGGUGCGAACGUUGCUCGGAAUUACUGGGCGUAAAGCGCGUGUAGGUGGACAUGUAAGUCAGAUGUGAAAUCCCCGGGCUCAACCUGGGAACUGCAUUUGAAACUACAUGUCUAGAGUAGCGGAGAGGGAAGCGGAAUUCUUGGUGUAGAGGUGAAAUUCGUAGAUAUCAAGAGGAACACCAGUGGCGAAGGCGGCUUCCUGGACGCUUACUGACACUGAGACGCGAAAGCGUGGGUAGCGAAC